RNAcentral lists this ribosomal RNA (549 nucleotides) under Triticum aestivum (bread wheat). RNAcentral describes it as "partial small subunit ribosomal RNA". Lineage: Eukaryota; Viridiplantae; Streptophyta; Magnoliopsida; Poales; Poaceae. The record is from RNAcentral.
AUGGAGAAUACAGCACCACAUCCUUCAUGCAUCGGCCGACCAGCAUCCAUGCCGGCCGGCGAGAGCAGCUGGGGGAUGCACUUUGCGUCGUCGGCGCACGGCAACCAGGACGACAUGGGUCGUCAGGGAGGGGCGAUAUCUGACAGUAGCUUCCCCUAUGACUACUCCUACUCCUUUGCCUCCCUGGGCGACGGCUCCAACUCGGCCUCCUUCAUCACAUCCGACCUGAUGGACGAGGAGGAGGAGGAGGAGGAGGAGGAGGAUUCUUUGCAGGACACUGCUUCUUCUUCCCCGGCCGGCCCUAAGGUUGCCAACAUCAACGUUGUUUACAUGAAGUCAAUGAUAACCAUGGAUACAAAAAAGAUGAACACCCCACAACUUGCCAACUAUUUUCUUGGUGCACAUUCAAGGCAGCAGGCCACUGGUGCGGUUCAAGAAUCGAUCAUUGGUGAAGAUAAUAACGAGAAACAAUAUACUGAGUGUAAUGAUCUGAGGAAGAAAGGGCUUUGCUUGGUCCCUCUGUCCUUGUUGAUAGACUACCUAGGAUGA